This 501-nucleotide ribosomal RNA is filed under the name Coreomyces sp. HS-2018d. Its description in RNAcentral is "SSU rRNA". It matches the Rfam family "Bacterial small subunit ribosomal RNA", at positions 504 to 1096 of the family's 1533-position model. Lineage: Eukaryota; Fungi; Ascomycota; Laboulbeniomycetes; Laboulbeniales; Laboulbeniaceae. The record is from RNAcentral.
UGUGCCAGCAGUCGCGGCAACACAAUAAAGACUAGUGUUAUUCAUAUUAAUUUGGUUUAAAAGUGCAUAGACUGUAUAUUAUAAUUUAAUAUAUAAAAUAAUAAUAUACUAGAGUUAUUAUAUUAGAAGAUAAGUAUUAUAGAGUAGAUUUGAUAGUCAUAAAUCUAAAAGGUAGAUAAAUAUGAAAAUAUAUCUUUAUUAAUAACUGACGUUGAGGAACGUAGCUUUGGGCAGUGAAUAGGAAUAGGUAACCUAGUAAUCCAAAGUGUCAAUGAUGAAUGUCAUAAAUUAAAUUUUAUAAAUGAAAAUGUAAGCAUUCUACCUUAAGAGUAAUAUGGCAACAUAGAAACUGAAAUCAUUAGGCCGUCCUUGGGAUAAGCAGUGAGGUAUGUUGUUUAAUUCGAUAACCCUCGAUAAAUCUUACCAAAACAUGUAUUUAUACAGGAGUUGCAUGGCUGUCGUUAGUACUUGUCGUAAGACAUAUUAGAGUUAUGGAAAUUA